GGAGAAUUAGCUCAGUUGGGAGAGCGUCUGCCUUACAAGCAGAGGGUCACAGGUUCGAGCCCUGUAUUCUCCA
This is a transfer RNA of 73 nucleotides. It matches the Rfam family "tRNA". Rfam says of the family: Transfer RNA (tRNA) molecules are approximately 80 nucleotides in length. Their secondary structure includes four short double-helical elements and three loops (D, anti-codon, and T loops). The record is from Rfam.